This 507-nucleotide ribosomal RNA is filed under the name uncultured bacterium. Its description in RNAcentral is "partial 16S ribosomal RNA". It matches the Rfam family "Bacterial small subunit ribosomal RNA", at positions 29 to 523 of the family's 1533-position model. The record is from RNAcentral.
AGUGAACGCUAGCUACAGGCUUAACACAUGCAAGUCGAGGGGCAGCGGGAUUGAAGCUUGCUUCAAUUGCCGGCGACCGGCGCACGGGUGAGUAACGCGUAUCCAACCUUCCGCUUACUCGGGGAUAGCCUUUCGAAAGAAAGAUUAAUACCAGAUGGUAUCCUAAGCACGCAUGAGAUUAAGAUUAAAGAUUUAUCGGUAAGCGAUGGGGAUGCGUUCCAUUAGGCAGUUGGCGGGGUAACGGCCCACCAAACCUACGAUGGAUAGGGGUUCUGAGAGGAAGGUCCCCCACAUAGGAACUGAGACACGGUCCAAACUCCUACGGGAGGCAGCAGUGAGGAAUAUUGGUCAAUGGGCGAGAGCCUGAACCAGCCAAGUAGCGUGAAGGAUGACGGCCCUACGGGUUGUAAACUUCUUUUGUGCGGGAAUAAAGGAACCUACGUGUAGGUUUUUGCAUGUACCGUAACGAAUAAGCAUCGGCUAACUCCGUGCCAGCCGCCGCAGUAA